RNAcentral lists this ribosomal RNA (253 nucleotides) under uncultured bacterium. RNAcentral describes it as "partial 16S ribosomal RNA". It matches the Rfam family "Bacterial small subunit ribosomal RNA", at positions 524 to 776 of the family's 1533-position model. The record is from RNAcentral.
UACGUAGGGUGCAAGCGUUGUCCGGAAUUAUUGGGCGUAAAGGGCUCGUAGGCGGCUUGUCAAGUCUGCUGUGAAAUUUCGGGGCUCAACCCCGAACUUGCAGUGGGUACGGGCAGGCUAGAGUGUGGUAGGGGAGACUGGAAUUCCUGGUGUAGCGGUGAAAUGCGCAGAUAUCAGGAGGAACACCGAUGGCGAAGGCAGGUGACUGGGCAGUAACUGACGCUGAGGAGCGAAAGCGUGGGGAGCGAACAGG